Long non-coding RNA from Leptinotarsa decemlineata (Colorado potato beetle), 297 nucleotides. NCBI's taxonomy places the organism in Eukaryota, Metazoa, Arthropoda, Insecta, Coleoptera, Chrysomelidae. The record is from RefSeq and is a predicted model, not a curated record.
ACGUGAUUUGAAGCCAGCUAGUAGUGAAUCAUCUGAAAUUUUCGAAGAUAAAGAUACCAGCUUCCUCUCAAUGAUAUAAAUUAUAUAGACCUCCAACAAGAAAUUGCCUAAGAAGUUACUUUCCACCCCGAGGAAGGUAAUCCUGAUAAGGAAAGCCACCUAAUCAGCCAGUCCACACAAACACCAACUUCAUUCAGAUUAUUUUCCAAUGAUGAAUUUCUAAUGAACAAAAAAUCUGUUCUUUAUUAUACAGGUCUCUCUUGAGGGAUAUUCUCGAAAUUAAAAUGUCUAUCAUAA